GCAAACUUGGUCAUUUAGAGGAAGUAAAAGUCGUAACAAGGUUUCCGUAGGUGAACCUGCGGAAGGAUCAUUAUUGAACUGUGUUUUUCAAAAACACUUACUCGAUGGGUUGUCGCUGGCUCCUCUGGAGCAUGUGCACGCCUGUCUUGACUUCAUUCAUCCACCUGUGCACCAUUUGUAGUCUUUGAGGGGUCUGAGAGAGUGGCUGACUUGUCGGGAAUUCUCCCGGAUGUGAGGACUGCAGUGUGAAAGCACGGCUCUCUUCUACCUGGCCAUGAACCCUGCCCCUCGAGGUCUAUGUAUUUAUUCAUACACUAUGUAGCAUGUUACAGAAUGUCUCAAUGGGCCUUUGUGCCUAUAAAAUCAUAUACAACUUUCAGCAACGGAUCUCUUGGCUCUCGCAUCGAUGAAGAACGCAGC
Molecule: unclassified non-coding RNA, 420 nt
Filed under: uncultured fungus
Lineage: Eukaryota; Fungi
Description: partial contains small subunit ribosomal RNA, internal transcribed spacer 1, and 5.8S ribosomal RNA
Rfam family: Eukaryotic small subunit ribosomal RNA (bases 1-73)
Source: RNAcentral